Molecule: non-coding RNA, 254 nt
Organism: Vicugna pacos (alpaca)
Lineage: Eukaryota; Metazoa; Chordata; Mammalia; Artiodactyla; Camelidae
Source: RefSeq, a predicted model, not a curated record
UCUACCCAAGAAAGAGUUCAGAGUGAUGAUUGUGAAGAUGAUCCAAAAACUCAGAAGAAUAGAUGCACAGAGUGAGAAGUUAGAAGUUUUUAAAAAAGAGUUAGAAGAUAUAAAGACAACCAGAGUUGAAGAAUACAAUAACUGAAAUGAAAAAUACACUAGGAGGAAUCAAUAGUAGAAUAAACGAGGCAGAAACAUGGAUCAGUGAGCUUGAUGACAGAGUAGUGGAAAUCACUGCUGAAUGGGAAAAAGAA